GAUGAACGCUGGCGGCGUGCCUAAUACAUGCAAGUCGAGCGAACGGACGAGAAGCUUGCUUCUCUGAUGUUAGCGGCGGACGGGUGAGUAACACGUGUAUAACCUACCUAUAAGACUGGGAUAACUUCGGGAAACCGUAUCUAAUACCGGAUAAUAUUUUGAACCGCAUGGUUCAAAAGUGAAAGACGGUCUUGCUGUCACUUAUAGAUGUAUCCUCGCUGCAUUAGCUAGUUGGUAAGGUAACGGCUUACCAAGGCAACGAUGCAUAGCCGACCUGAGAGGGUGAUCGGCCACACUGGAACUGAGACACGGUCCAGACUCCUACGGGAGGCAGCAGUAGGGAAUCUUCCGCAAUGGGCGAAAGCCUGACGGAGCAACACCGCGUGAGUGAUGAAGGUCUUCGGAUCGUAAAACUCUGUUAUUAGGGAAGAACAUAUGUGUAAGUAACUGUGCACAUCUUGACGGUACCUAAUCAGAAAGCCACGGCUAACUACGUG
RNAcentral lists this ribosomal RNA (497 nucleotides) under uncultured bacterium. RNAcentral's name for it is "partial 16S ribosomal RNA". It matches the Rfam family "Bacterial small subunit ribosomal RNA", at positions 28 to 507 of the family's 1533-position model. The record is from RNAcentral.